UACGGGGGGAGCAAGCGUUGUUCGGAUUUACUGGGCGUAAAGGGCGCGUAGGCGGCCACCGCAAGUCGAUUGUGAAAUCUCCGGGCUUAACCCGGAAGGUCAACCGAUACUGCGGGGCUAGAGUGCAGAAGGGGCAACUGGAAUUCUCGGUGUAGCGGUGAAAUGCGUAGAUAUCAGGAGGAACACCAGUGGCGAAGGCGGCGUCACUGGACCGGUAUUGACGCUGAGGUGCGAAAGCGUGGGAGCAAACAGG
RNAcentral lists this ribosomal RNA (253 nucleotides) under uncultured bacterium. RNAcentral describes it as "partial 16S ribosomal RNA". It matches the Rfam family "Bacterial small subunit ribosomal RNA", at positions 524 to 776 of the family's 1533-position model. The record is from RNAcentral.